RNAcentral lists this ribosomal RNA (253 nucleotides) under uncultured bacterium. RNAcentral's name for it is "partial 16S ribosomal RNA". It matches the Rfam family "Bacterial small subunit ribosomal RNA", at positions 524 to 776 of the family's 1533-position model. The record is from RNAcentral.
UACGUAGGGUGCGAGCGUUAAUCGGAAUUACUGGGCGUAAAGCGUGCGCAGGCGGUUUUGUAAGCCAGAUGUGAAAUCCCCGGGCUUGACCUGGGAAUGGCAUUUGGGACUGCAAGGCUGGAGUUUGGCAGAGGAGACUGGAAUUCCUGGUGUAGCAGUGAAAUGCGUAGAUAUCUGGAGGAAUACCGGUGGCGAAGGCGGCAUCCUGGACCGGCAUUGACGCUGAGGAGCGAAAGCUAGGGGAGCAAACGGG